GAAACGACUGCUAAGACUGGAUAGGAAAAGUGAAGGCAUCUUUACUUUUUUAAAAGACCUUCUUUGAAGGUAUGCUUAAGGAGGGGCUUGCGACACAUUAGUUAGUUGGCAGGGUAAAGGCCUACCAAGACUAUGAUGUGUAGCUGGACUGAGAGGUUGAACAGCCACAUUGGGACUGAGACGCGGCCCAAACUCCUACGGGAGGCAGCAGUAGGGAAUUUUCGGCAAUGGAGGAAACUCUGACCGAGCAACGCCGCGUGAACGAUGAAGUACCUCGGUAUGUAAAGUUCUUUUAUUAAGGAAGAAAAAAGAGUGGAAAAACUCCCUUGACGGUACUUAAUGAAUAAGCCCCGGCUAAUUAUGUGCCAGCAGCCGCGGUAAUACAUAAGGGGCGAGCGUUAUCCGGAAUUAUUGGGCGUAAAGGGUGCGUAGGCGGUUUAAUAAGUCUAUAGUUUAAUUUCAGCGCUUAACGCUGUUGUGCUAUAGAAACUGUUUUACUAGAGUGAGAUAGAGGCAAGCGGAAUUCCAUGUGUAGCGGUAAAAUGCGUAAAUAUAUGGAGGAACAUCAGAGGCGUAGGCGGCUUGCUGGGUCUUUACUGACGCUGAGGCACGAAAGCGUGGGGAGCAAACAGGAUUAGAUACCCUGGUAGUCCACGCCGUAAACGAUGAGUACUAAGUGUCGGGUAAAACCGGUACUGAAGUUAACACAUUAAGUACUCCGCCUGAGGAGUACGUACGCAAGUAUGAAACUUAAAGGAAUUGACGGGACUCCGCACAAGCGGUGGAUCAUGUUGUUUAAUUCGAAGAUACACGAAAAACCUUACCAGGUCUUGACAUUUUCUUGCGAAGUUAUAGAAAUAUAAUGGAGGUUAUCAGGAAAACAGGCGGUGCAUGGUUGUCGUCAGCUCGUGUCGUGAGAUGUUAGGUUAAGUCCUAAAACGAGCGCAACCCUUGUCGUUAAUUGCCAGCAUGUAAUGAUGGGGACUUUAACGAGACUGCCAAUGAAAAAUUGGAGGAAGGUGGGGAUUACGUCAAAUCAUCAUGCCCCUUAUGAUCUGGGCUACAAACGUGAUACAAUGGUUGAUACAAAGAGUAGCUGAAACGCGAGUUCUUAGCCAAUCUCACAAAAUCAAUCUCAGUUCGGAUUGAAGUCUGCAACUCGACUUCAUGAAGUUGGAAUCGCUAGUAAUCGUGAAUCAGCAUGUCGCGGUGAAUACGUUCUCGGGGUUUGUACACACCGCCCGUCA
RNAcentral lists this ribosomal RNA (1247 nucleotides) under Candidatus Phytoplasma pruni. RNAcentral's name for it is "bacterial SSU rRNA". It matches the Rfam family "Bacterial small subunit ribosomal RNA", at positions 153 to 1399 of the family's 1533-position model. The record is from RNAcentral. Lineage: Bacteria; Bacillati; Mycoplasmatota; Mollicutes; Acholeplasmatales; Acholeplasmataceae.